GAGAUGCUCUUGGCAGCUGAAAGAGCAGUCAUGGGGUGGAGGCUGGGGGCUGUGUGUGGAAAUUCCCACUCUGAGGCAGCUUUGGAAGUUCCCAGAUCCCCUGGAAGAGCUGUGCUUGACUGGAGCCUGCAUUCCAGAUGCUGGGCCUGCAGCCAGGGAGCUGUCACGUGGGGCUGUGCUGGGAACAUCUUAGCGUAAGUCUGGGUCAAGCGCCUGCUUGGAGGUGCACGAGAGAAAGGCCUGGGGAUAGUGGGGGAGGGAGAAGUGAGGAUUGUGUUUUUGUGCCCCCAGAAUCCUCAGUGCCUCUGGGGCCCCCUCCCCAUUAGCUCACAGAUGAGGAAUGGAAAAUUCUCCUGGUGAAUAAUCCUUCCUUCCUUCCUCCUGCUGGAUGGACAUCUGGCCUGAAUCCUCCAUGUGUGGUUUGGUCAUCGCCGCAGACUCCCACUCAGUCUUGUUUGAAAGAAAGGAGAAAUGAAAGUGAACUUUUCAGAAAGAACAUCACAUAAGACAUUAUCCUUGGACAUCAUCCACCUGUUUCUCUGAAGGCCAAGAACAAGCCAGGACCAAGGUGACACUGAAGACUAAUGGCAGUGGUUGUGCAGAAGCAGAGGAACCUGUGGAGGGGAUGAGUUGCCUUGGAAAGUGAUCCCUGUUGCUGAAGAAGACCAUCUGUCAAGGAGUCCAUGGAAAGCACUGAAAAAAAGCAGCUUGGUUUAGGAGUUAAAAGCUAAGAUAUCACCUUAGUAACACAGUUGCUGAGGUUUUAUUGUUGGUGGUGGGUUGUUCUCAAGAGUUUGGUCCUGGGCUACGUCCCUGCAGUGAGCACUCGGUAACUGUCAGCUCAGUAUCCCAUAUGGGCACCAGUUGUGUCCCGGCUGCUCCUCUUCUGAUCCAGCUCUCUGCUAGUGUCCUGGGACAGUAGUGGAAGAUGGCUCAAGUGCCUGGGCUCCUGUGCCCACAUGGGAGUCCUGGAGGAGGCUCCUGGCUCCUGGCUCCUGGUUUCAGAUCGGCUCAGACCCAGUCAUUGUGGCCAUUUGGGGAGUGGACCAGGGGACUAAGACGACCUCUCCCUCUGUCUCUCCUCUCUGUUUGUAACGCUACC
This is a long non-coding RNA of Oryctolagus cuniculus (rabbit), 1102 nucleotides long. RefSeq lists it as uncharacterized. Lineage: Eukaryota; Metazoa; Chordata; Mammalia; Lagomorpha; Leporidae. The record is from RefSeq and is a predicted model, not a curated record.